GACUACCCGGGUAUCUAAUCCUGUUUGCUCCCCACGCUUUCGCACCUCAGCGUCAGUAUCGGGCCAGUGAGCCGCCUUCGCCACUGGUGUUCUUGCGAAUAUCUACGAAUUUCACCUCUACACUCGGAGUUCCACUCACCUCUCCCGAACUCGAGAUCCCCAGUAUCAAAGGCAGUUCCAAGGUUGAGCCUUGGGAUUUCACCUCUGACUUAAAGAUCCGCCUACGUGCGCUUUACGCCCAGUAAAUCCGAACAACGCUAGCCCCCUUCGUAUUACCGCGGCUGCUGGCACGAAGUUAGCCGGGGCUUAUUCUUCCGGUACCGUCAUUAUCUUCCCGGACAAAAGAGCUUUACAACCCUAAGGCCUUCAUCACUCACGCGGCAUGGCUGGAUCAGGCUUUCGCCCAUUGUCCAAUAUUCCCCACUGCAGCCCCCCGUAGG
This 440-nucleotide ribosomal RNA is filed under the name uncultured Hyphomicrobiales bacterium. Its description in RNAcentral is "uncultured Rhizobiales bacterium partial 16S ribosomal RNA". The record is from RNAcentral. Lineage: Bacteria; Pseudomonadati; Pseudomonadota; Alphaproteobacteria; Hyphomicrobiales.